This 28-nucleotide non-coding RNA is filed under the name Homo sapiens (human). The record is from RNAcentral. Lineage: Eukaryota; Metazoa; Chordata; Mammalia; Primates; Hominidae.
UCCUACUAAACAGAUGAAGUUUGCAGCC